RNAcentral lists this ribosomal RNA (497 nucleotides) under uncultured bacterium. RNAcentral describes it as "partial 16S ribosomal RNA". It matches the Rfam family "Bacterial small subunit ribosomal RNA", at positions 28 to 507 of the family's 1533-position model. The record is from RNAcentral.
GAUGAACGCUGGCGGCGUGCCUAAUACAUGCAAGUCGAGCGAACAGACGAGGAGCUUGCUCCCCUGACGUUAGCGGCGGACGGGUGAGUAACACGUGGAUAACCUACCUAUAAGUCUGGGAUAACUUCGGGAAACCGGAGCUAAUACCGGAUAAUAUAUUCAACCGCAUGGUUCAAUAGUGAAUGACGGUUUUGCUGUCACUUUUAGAUGGAUCCGCGCCGCAUUAGCUAGUUGGUAAGGUAACGGCUUACCAAGGCAACGAUGCGUAGCCGACCUGAGAGGGUGAUCGGCCACACUGGAACUGAGACACGGUCCAGACUCCUACGGGAGGCAGCAGUAGGGAAUCUUCCGCAAUGGGCGAAAGCCUGACGGAGCAACGCCGCGUGAGUGAUGAAGGUCUUCGGAUCGUAAAGCUCUGUUAUUAGGGAAGAACAAAUGUGUAAGUAACUAUGCACGUCUUGACGGUACCUAAUCAGAAAGCCACGGCUAACUACGUG